RNAcentral lists this long non-coding RNA (586 nucleotides) under Salmo salar (Atlantic salmon). Its description in RNAcentral is "lncRNA (ENSSSAG00000105882.1, ENSSSAG00020047012.1, ENSSSAG00075040746.1)". Lineage: Eukaryota; Metazoa; Chordata; Actinopteri; Salmoniformes; Salmonidae. The record is from RNAcentral.
AGCCAAGUGGACUGUUUUGUUUGGGGUGUGUGACCUGAAGCUCGCUCCACUUUCAUUUUAUCUGCUAUUGAAUACAGUUUAUCCCAUCUUAAAUUUUAUCGAUUAUUUAUGUUUUAAAAUACCUAAAGUUAUAUUAGGAAAGCUGUUUGAAAUGUUUGGACAAAGUUUACAGCUGCUCUGUCAGAAACAACUUGAAGCACUGCCUCAGAUGGAAAUGGCAAGGGCCGUUGCACUCCAGACUGGGACUCAUCAACGCAAACAGCAGGGCCAGGAGGGGUGAAAUGGCUGGCAGCCUUCCAGCUACCACAGAACUCUUGUACUUCAUCCACUAUCGGUCUGCCUCCAUCACCACCAGCAUCUUCAAAUGGAACUAGGACUUUGUCAGUGGACAAUGGGUCCUCAGAUUCAAGGUUCUCAAUGGCUGGGUUCUCAGCUCCUCACUGUAACUGUCAGAAUCUGAUUCCUGACUUUCAGACUCAUUGUCAGAAUUUUUUUACAUCUCCAGAAUUUCCCAAUUUUGUGAGUUGUCUCCUUUUGAAAGGCAUUGCUAAUGCUACAGCUUCUCAUUAGCUACAUACAUAAACAA